AUUGAACGCUGGCGGCAUGCUUUACACAUGCAAGUCGAACGGUAACAGGUUAAGCUGACGAGUGGCGAACGGGUGAGUAAUGCAUCGGAACGUGCCCGGUCGUGGGGGAUAACGCAGCGAAAGCUGCGCUAAUACCGCGUACGAUCUGAGGAUGAAAGCGGGGGACCGUAAGGCCUCGCGCGAUCGGAGCGGCCGAUGUCAGAUUAGGUAGUUGGUGGGGUAAAGGCUCAACAAGCCGACGAUCUGUAGCUGGUCUGAGAGGACGACCAGCCACACUGGAACUGGGACACGGCCCAGACUCCUACGGGAGGCAGCAGUGGGGAAUUUUGGACAAUGGGCGCAAGCCUGAUCCAGCCAUGCCGCGUGCAGGAUGAAGGCCUUCGGGUUGUAAACUGCUUUUGUACGGAACGAAAAGGUUUGUCUUAAUACGUUGGACUCAUGACGGUACCGUAAGAAUAAGCACCGGCUAACUACGUGCCAGCCGCCGCCGUAA
Molecule: ribosomal RNA, 493 nt
Filed under: uncultured bacterium
Lineage: Bacteria
Description: partial 16S ribosomal RNA
Rfam family: Bacterial small subunit ribosomal RNA
Source: RNAcentral